This 252-nucleotide ribosomal RNA is filed under the name uncultured bacterium. RNAcentral describes it as "partial 16S ribosomal RNA". It matches the Rfam family "Bacterial small subunit ribosomal RNA", at positions 524 to 776 of the family's 1533-position model. The record is from RNAcentral.
UACGUAGGGUGCAAGCGUUAUCCGGAAUUAUUGGGCGUAAAGAGCUCGUAGGCGGUUUGUCGCGUCUGCUGUGAAACUCGAGGCUCAACCUCGAGACGCCGGUGGAAACCAUCAGGCUAGAGUCCGGAAGAGGAGAGUGGAAUUCCUGGUGUAGCGGUGAAAUGCGCAGAUAUCAGGAAGAACACCCGUGGCUAAGGCGGCUCUCUAGUACGGUACUGACGCUGAGACGCGAAAGCGUGGGGAGCGAACAGG